CCGUUGCGGCUUCAAUCUUUUUAAUUGCAAUGUUGGGGAAACUAGAUUCGUCGUCGUAGUUUCAAUCUGUUCCACUACACCGCCAGGGGAGUAAGAUCCGUCAUUGCGGCUUUAAUCUGCUCCACUGUAAAGCCAAAGAGAUAGGAUUCGUUGCCCACAGCUUCAAUCCGCUCCACUUCAGCUAAUCCAAGCCUUAACG
This 199-nucleotide long non-coding RNA is filed under the name Gossypium barbadense (sea-island cotton). RNAcentral describes it as "long non-coding RNA (GBAR_LNC014818)". Lineage: Eukaryota; Viridiplantae; Streptophyta; Magnoliopsida; Malvales; Malvaceae. The record is from RNAcentral.